This 517-nucleotide small RNA is filed under the name Pan troglodytes (chimpanzee). RNAcentral's name for it is "processed transcript". The record is from RNAcentral. Lineage: Eukaryota; Metazoa; Chordata; Mammalia; Primates; Hominidae.
UUUUCCUGCCUUCCAAUAGCCACUCACACAUUCUUUGUAGAUGUAAAUACAGCUUUACAUAGCCCACUACCAUAUUGCUUCUGUGUAAUAAUCCGAUGACCAAAGAGCCGAAACUGGAAGCAGCUGUGCGGAUUGUCCCGGAGUGGCAGGACUACGACCAAGAGAUCAAACAGCUACAGAUCCGCUUUCAGAAGGAGAAAGAAACGGGAGCACUGUACAAAGAGAAGACAAAAGAACCAAGCCGAGAAGGUCCUCAGAAACGUGAAGAAUUAUGAUCUCUGGAGAAGGACAGGAAAUCACCCCAUUUGAAAAACAGUUUUUAUAAUAAAUGCUAGUUUUUUCUGAUCUGUCUAUACAACUGCUGAUAAACCGGCUGGGCAGGAGUGCCACACCUUUUGAUUCUGAGCAUUUGAUUCUGACUUCUGUACUCUGGUGGCCACUGGAUCUUUGGGAUUAAAGCUCUAUUGGAUUUGUACCUCAGAGGAAGACCAAGUGGCUGAUCCUUUGGACUCUGUAA